RNAcentral lists this ribosomal RNA (453 nucleotides) under uncultured bacterium. RNAcentral's name for it is "bacterial SSU rRNA". It matches the Rfam family "Bacterial small subunit ribosomal RNA", at positions 29 to 524 of the family's 1533-position model. The record is from RNAcentral.
AGCGAACGCUGGCGGCAGGCCUAAUACAUGCAAGUCGAGCGGCCGUAGCAAUACGGCAGCGGCAGACGGGAGAGUAACACGUGGGAACGUGCCUAUCAGUUCGGAACAACCCAGGGAAACUUGGGCUAAUACCGGAUACGCCCUUACGGGGAAAGAUUUAUCGCUGAUAGAGCGGCCCGCGUCUGAUUAGCUAGUUGGUGAGGUAACGGCUCACCAAGGCUACGAUCAGUAGCUGGUCUGAGAGGAUGAUCAGCCUCACUGGGACUGAGACACGGCCCAGACUCCUACGGGAGGCAGCAGUAGGGAAUAUUGGACAAUGGGCGCAAGCCUGAUCCAGCCAUGCCGCGUGAGUGAUGAAGGCCUUUAGGGUUGUAAAGCUCUUUCGGCGGGGAAGAUAAUGACGGUACCCGCAGAAGAAGCCCCGGCUAACUUCGUGCCAGCCGCCGCCGUAAG